Molecule: long non-coding RNA, 4224 nt
Organism: Chinchilla lanigera (long-tailed chinchilla)
Lineage: Eukaryota; Metazoa; Chordata; Mammalia; Rodentia; Chinchillidae
Source: Ensembl
CUGUCCCUCUAGGUAAGGUGUAUAGCCUGUCUUAGUAUUAUGCAGUAGUAGGUACUGUAGUUCUCUAUCCAUACCUCUGGAGUUAAUCCCAGCCAUGCCCCUUGUAGCAAUAAGGAUUGUGGGCAAGUUAUUGAAUGUUCCAGAACAUUCUCAGUGUUCUAUUCUGGAUUUUCCAUUUUGUUUGUAUUUGUUACAUGACACUGGUUGGUGCCAUCUGUUCCCAAACAUACUCAGCCAACAGGAGUGACGACACACAUCUGCCCCACCUAGAGAUGUGAGCUGCACUCUCAAUUGCUGGUUUCCAUACAUGGUUGGAAGAAGAGGUUGCUAAAGGGAACUGGUUUUUCACUGAGGAUAUACCUGCCGGCUUCAUGGAUGCUUGCUGCAGCAAGAGAAAAUACACACUCAAGGAAACCAUGGACCAUGGGCUUUAUGAUGGGUUUUGAGCUUGUACAAGAUAAUGGAUAUCAGUUCAUGAAGUAGAAUGUUGAUUUUCUCUGGAGGGAAGAAGUGAAAAUGGAAAGCAAUGAGAGGUCAUUUUAUCUCAACCUACAGAAUCGAGGCAAGGCAUACAAGAGAGGUAUGAGCACUGGAGGAAUGCAGAUGUGAAUGUGGAUUAGCAUAAAUCUGGACCUACAAAAUUCACAGGAUACCAGCGCCGCGUGUUCCUCGACAGUUACUUGUGUCUGCCCAUCAGCUGGACCAGCGAUUUCAGCCCCGCAGUGUUUCAGCGUCCCCUGGGGAGUGAAGUACGACACAGUACCGGACACCAGCCCACACCAUCCCCGAACGGAGUUCAAGGCCGGAGCAGAUUUCAUUCAUCUUGGUAUUACCAGCUUCUGCCACUAGGUGGCAGGCACAAAUUUUUGCUAAAUUGAUAUGCCAUCGCAAGGCUAAAAGAGAAAGACGGCUACCAAGUAUUCAGGAGCUGUGGAGAAAAAUAAUGCAAAAGGUCAACAGCACUUGGGCAAUCCUAAAGAGUGAGAGAAUGUCUUUUACAAGAAGUCCAGAUUUCCAUGUUAAGUUUUUUGUUCCGCCUCAAUACAGUGCCUCGAUGUUUCUCUCCAACUCUAAGGACUUGGAAUUCCCCCACAAUGUUUUGCAGUUCAACUAGCUGGUCCUAAGCAGGGGUUGCCCUCCAGUGACUGCCCAAAAGACAGAAAAACUUGAGCCUGGGCUCUGGCAAGGUGAGACCAAAAUGCAUUUCAGCACUAAUAAUUCAGUCAUCAAGAAAACUAAUAUUUAAGGAAAUAUUUUAGGAGUCAAAAUUAAAGAAAAAAAUUACCAACAAAUACCAACACAUUAAAUAAAAACAGGACCAAUUGCUGUAGUAAGCCUAGAAAUACUGGGGCCUAAGGCAGAAAGGAAAAUUACUAAUACCGAUUCUGUGUUUAUUUAAAGCUUUUAUUAUGUUCAUCAUGGGUUCCUGCAUUCAUUUUGAUUGCUUAAUAUGCUGCAUUAUGUACAAUUUGUCAGAAAUACUAUUUAGCUUGCUUAUCAUAGUAUGUGUGCUCUCUUCAGUUUUGCUUCUGAAAUAAAAGGGCCUCACUUGUCUAACCCUAGGCCUAAGCUGAGCUGGACCUUGGAAACUUCUCUGAAAUUGCUCUUCCCACUUUAGAGAGGAUGCUGUGUUUGACGAAACGCUCAUCCCAAUUAAUUCCAAGGCGGUUAACCGGCAAAUAACCUCCAACGCAAUAGUGUAAACCGACAGCCAUACACACAGAAUUUCUUACGGAAGCAAAAGGAUCCUUUUCUGAAAAUGACAGGUUUCAAACGGAUUGGAAUUGGAUCCCCGGUGCACAAGACUGCUUGAUAUAGGCUGCAUACAACCCAAAUGCUGGGAUUGUCUUAAAAGUGGCAGAAACUGGAGAAGAGGAUAUUGAAACACUACAAGAAACACACCAAGAAUUUGCUGAACAUUGGCACUUCUCUGAGACAAGAAAGGAACCCCUGUGUUGAGAAUCAGAGUCUUAGGCCCAGAACUUCAAAUGCUCAGUGCAGUGACUUGUUUUAUAAUCCAUGGAUGUUGGUUAUAGUGAGAUAUGGUUAGGAACUUCAGGUACAAAUUUUGGUUAUGCAAUCAAAAACAAAGAAGAAAUUCACUGAUGAACACACAUCCUAGGGAGAUUUUUGCAAAAGGAAGUUUAGAAAAUGGUCAAACAGAGGAGCAUAGGUAAUGAUUUUUGAGACCAUUUUACUGUAAGACCAUUUGGGAUGCUGUCUUGGUUACUUUUUUCUCGCUGCUGGGACAAAAUACCUGACGCCCAAAAUUAAGGAAGGAAAGGUUUAUUUCGCUUACAGUUCGUGGAAGUUUCAGCCCAUACUUGGCAAAUUAUAAGGCAGAGUGGCACGUGGCAGAGAGCUGCAGCUCAGGAAGGCAGCUACAGCUAAGCCACAAGCACACACACCAGGGCGGAAUCGGGGAGGAAUGCCCCAAGCACUCUUUUCCUGUCCCUUACAUAUGCAAACUACCCACUCCCAGGCGGAUGCAGCUCUCACACCCAUAUUCAAACUCUAAUAGCCUGCCCCAGGGCCACAGGAGGCUUUGGGGGGGGGGGGACACAUAGACAUAAACCAUAACAAAUGCAAUGAACUGGAUGGCACAAGAGAUUUACAGGCAUUCCUGAAGUAUUCUUGCCAGGAAGGUUAAAUUAGGAUGAAGGAAUUUAGGAGGCAGAGUUGGUUGCUCUUAGGAAAAAUCCAAAACAUCAGAGUCAGCACUGAGAGCCCACGGCAGACAUAGGAACUGGGAAUCACUGUGGGUAAGAUUUAGGGUAGGAGACUGAGUAUCUGACUCUGAGGUGCCGUGCCAGCCUUUACUUCCAGUAAAAGCUGCAGCUGAAGGGAAGGUGGACAGAAUAAGAGAGCUACAACUCACUGGGAGAUUGCUCUCUUGUAGUUAGAAACUUUUGUUUGAAGUAGAAAAUAAAGGUACAUACAAGAGAGUAGGAGCUGCUACUCAGAACCUGGGGAGUCAGCCCUGUCCUAGAGCUGGCCAGUUAGGGCUCAGGGCAUGGAAUUAGGACGCAGAGAUCUGAAUGGAGAAUGCUGGCUGGACAGAGUCCCCAAAGGAGGAACAUUGUACUGCUCUGAAUAGGGUUGCUGGCAGGAAAGCUUCGCACAGAGAAACGGCCUGCCAGGCUCUGUAGGAAGAAUGCUCUUGGCUCUGAGCUCUGCCACCACAGGGAUGCAGAACAACCCUGCUUCCAGUAUAGAAAUCCAGCUAGCAACCGAAAUUCAGCCUGAAACUAGAUUUCCUGAGAAAGGGAAAGUAGCUUUGUAACUGGAGAGAGCUUGCCUGGGGAGUGUGAGGAAUUCACUUCAUGGUUAUGCUGAAGCACGCCAUUCAUGGAGAUCAAAACAGGCAGGGUGCACAUGCGUUGAUCACUGUGUGUAAAGAAUUUUAUCCUGGGAAUCAGCUUGAAACAUUAUCUAGGACCCCCAAAUAAAUUGCACAUCUUUUCCCUCCAUCCCUACAUGUCACUUGGGGUAUUUUUUUUUUUUUUUCCGGUACUGGGAAAUGAACUCACGACCUUGGGCUUGCCAGGCAGGCACUGUGCCCCUGAGCUAAAUCCCCAGCCCCACUUGAGGUAAAAUUUUAAAGGGUAGCUUUUGGCUGAGAAAAGAGCAUCACAGGAAAACAACAACAAGUAGAAAAAUAAGCAGGGAUGAGUAAUGUAUCAGCUAGUGGCUGAGCUCCUUCCUGUUGAUGUAAGGAACAUUCCUGUGUGUGUAGCAAGGUGCCUUGGUGGGUCAUGUGACCAUUUAUCAUGCUAUGUCCACUUAUGUGGAUUAAGAAAGACCCAGCAGACUACCAGGGCACGGUUUGGAGUGUGUCUGUGGAUGGCUGACAUGUAAACUGAUCGGGGGAGACCAGCCCCAGGGCCGGGGAGGUGACACCAACCAGUAGACUUAUAGUGUAGACAAAGGAUAAUAAGGGAAAGAGGGGAGUGUCUGUGUUUUGAAAGAGCUCCAGUCUUGCGUUCCCUUUGGACAUCUGUUUCCAGUGAUUUCACCCUUCUAAGGCAGACUCAUAUUGGCAACUCUAGAGUUGCCAAGCCUUCGACUUUUGACUGGUGCUGCAUCCUUGAUUCCUCUUGUUCAACAGCGAACAUCUUGGGCUGAGCAGAUACUGAAUUCUGUGGCUCUCCAGGGUGUAGACAGUGAUUGUGCACUUUUCCACAUCUGACCCUACAAGUCUACCUAAUAAAUCCCACUGUGAAC